CAACCUCAACUCAUAUGGGACUACCCCCUGAAUUUAAGCAUAUUAAUUAGGGGAGGAAAAGAAACUAACAAGGAUUUUCUUAGUAGCGGCGAGCGAAAAGAAAUCAGUUCAGCACUAAGUCACUUUGUCUAUAUGGCAAAUGUGAGAUGCAGUGUACGGAACAUCAACAUUCUAGUAUGAGAAGUUAACGAUUUAAGUCCUUCUUAAAUGAGGCCAUUUACCCAUAGAGGGUGCCAGGCCCGUAUAACGUUAAUGAUUACUAGAUGGUGUUUCCAAAGAGUCGUGUUGCUUGAUAGUGCAGCACUAAGUGGGUGGUAAACUCCAUCUAAAACUAAAUAUAACCAUGAGACCGAUAGUAAACAAGUACCGUGAGGGAAAGUUGAAAAGAACUCUGAAUAGAGAGUUAAAUAGUACGUGAAACUGCUUAGAGGUUAAGCCCGAUGAACCUGAAUAUCCGUUAUGGAAAAUUCAUCAUUAGAAUUGUAAUAUUUUAAACAAUAUUAUAAUAAUAGUGUGCAUUUUUUCCAUAUAAGGACAUUGUAAUCUAUUAGCAUAAAUAUUUAUCAUA
RNAcentral lists this non-coding RNA (568 nucleotides) under Drosophila virilis. Its description in RNAcentral is "Eukaryotic large subunit ribosomal RNA". It matches the Rfam family "Eukaryotic large subunit ribosomal RNA", at positions 1 to 552 of the family's 3401-position model. Lineage: Eukaryota; Metazoa; Arthropoda; Insecta; Diptera; Drosophilidae. The record is from Rfam by way of RNAcentral.